UUGUACCUACGGGGGGCAGCAGUGGGGAAUAUUGGGCAAUGGGCGCAAGCCUGACCCAGCAACGCCGCGUGAAGGAAGAAGGCUUUCGGGUUGUAAACUUCUUUUCUCAGGGACGAAGCAAGUGACGGUACCUGAGGAAUAAGCCACGGCUAACUACGUGCCAGCAGCCGCGGUAAUACGUAGGUGGCAAGCGUUAUCCGGAUUUACUGGGUGUAAAGGGCGUGUAGGCGGGGACGCAAGGCAGAUGUGAAAACCACGGGCUCAACCUGUGGCCUGCCUUUGAAACUGUGGUUCUUGAGUACUGG
RNAcentral lists this ribosomal RNA (305 nucleotides) under uncultured bacterium. Its description in RNAcentral is "bacterial SSU rRNA". It matches the Rfam family "Bacterial small subunit ribosomal RNA", at positions 333 to 652 of the family's 1533-position model. The record is from RNAcentral.